Molecule: ribosomal RNA, 1937 nt
Filed under: human gut metagenome
Description: bacterial LSU rRNA
Rfam family: Bacterial large subunit ribosomal RNA
Source: RNAcentral
UCAAGCUAAAAAGAGCGCAGGGUGGAUGCCUUGGCACUAAGAGCCGAUGAAAGACGUGAUAAGCUGCGAUAAGCUACGGGGAGGAGCACAUAUCCAUUGAUCCGUAGAUUUCUGAAUGGGGAAACCCGGCUGAGCAUACCUCAGUCACCGUGCACUGAAUCCAUAGGUGUACGGAGGGAACCCGGUGAACUGAAACAUCUAAGUAGCCGGAGGAAGAGAAAGAAAACUCGAUUUUCAAAGUAGCGGCGAGCGAAAUGGAAAGAGCCCAAACCGGAGUGCGUGCACUCCGGGGUUCGGACUGCAUUUAUGACUUCUGACUGUAGCGGAACGGUUCUGGAAAGACCGGCCAGAGAGGGUGAGAGCCCCGUAGGCGAAACGGAAAGAAGCAGAGCAGGAUCCAGAGUACCACGAGACACGAGAAACCUUGUGGGAAUGAGCGGGGACCACCCCGUAAGGCUAAAUACUCCUUAGUGACCGAUAGAGCAGAGUACUGUGAAGGAAAGGUGAAAAGGACCCCGGGAGGGGAGUGAAAGAGAACCUGAAACCCUGUGUUUACAAACUGUGGAAGUACCAUAUGAGUACAACCGCGUACUUUUUGUAGAACGGUCCGGCGAGUUACGUUUACUGGCGAGGUUAAGCACUUAAGGUGCGGAGCCGAAGGGAUACCAAGUCUUAACAGGGCGUUAAGUCAGUGUACGUAGACCCGAAACCGGGUGAUCUACCCAUGUCCAGGCUGAAGUUGCCGUAAAAGGCAAUGGAGGGCCGAACGCACAUCCGUUGAAAAGGGUGGCGAUGAGGUGUGGGUAGGGGAGAAAUUCCAAUCGAACCCGGAGAUAGCUGGUUCUCCUCGAAAUAGCUUUAGGGCUAGCCUCGUUUUAGUCUUAUGGAGGUAGAGCACUGAAUUUCCGCGGGGGCGUCAAAGCUUACCAAAGAAUAUCAAACUCCGAAUGCCAUGUAGAUGAUGAAUGGGAGUCAGACUGCACGAGAUAAGUUGGGUGGUCAAAAGGGAAAGAGCCCAGACCUACAGCUAAGGUCCCAAAGUGCGUGUUAAGUGGAAAAGGAUGUGGGAUUUCGAAGACAACUAGGAUGUUGGCUCAGAAGCAGCCAUACAUUCAAAGAGUGCGUAAUAGCUCACUAGUCGAGAGGUCCUGCGCCGAAAAUGUCCGGGGCUGAAACACGACACCGAAGCUUAGGACUCCAUUUAGGAGUGGUAGAGGAGCAUUGUUAGCGCAGCGAAGCUGUACCGAUAAGGAGCAGUGGAGUGCUAAGAAGAGAGAAUGCCGGAAUGAGUAGCGAGAGGAAGGUGAGAAUCCUUCCGGCCGAAUAUCCAAGGUUUCCAGAGUAAAGCUGAUCUGCUCUGGGUAAGUCGGGGCCUAAGGCGAGGUCGAAAGACGUAGUCGAUGGAUAACAGGUGGAGAUUCCUGUACUAUGUGUACCCAGAACUGUGGGGACGCAUGUGGAGAGCACGAGCCGGGAAAGAGAAAACCGGUACAAGCGGGGUAGGAGUAAGGACAGCAAAUCUUCCUUACAAUCCGAAGACGUAAUGUGGACCGAACCAAAGUAGGGAAGCGUGUGAGCCAUGUGCCAAGAAAAGCCGCUAUUGUGAUACACAUACCCGUACCGUAAACCGACACAGGUGGAUGAGGAGAGAAUCCUAAGGCCGACGGAAGAAGCAUUGUUAAGGAACUCGGCAAAAUGACCCCGUAACUUCGGGAGAAGGGGUGCCCUGUGAAAGCAGGGCCGCAGAGAAUAGGCUCAAGCAACUGUUUAGCAAAAACACAGGUCUAUGCGAAACCGAAAGGUGAGGUAUAUGGGCUGACGCCUGCCCGGUGCUGGAAGGUUAAGAGGAGAGGUUAGCGCAAGCGAAGCUUUGAAUUUAAGCCCCAGUAAACGGCGGCCGUAACUAUAACGGUCCUAAGGUAGCGAAAUUCCUUGUC